Molecule: long non-coding RNA, 1022 nt
Organism: Daucus carota subsp. sativus
Lineage: Eukaryota; Viridiplantae; Streptophyta; Magnoliopsida; Apiales; Apiaceae
Exons: 3
Source: RefSeq, a predicted model, not a curated record
UACCAUACCAAAUGAUCUCAAACCUACGCCCUCAAACAACCCUUGCAUGGAAGCUCAAAAUCCGAGUAACGCGACUGUGGCAAGCAAUCGAUAGACAUGGAGAUACAGUAGGCUUACACUGUAUUUUCGUCGAUGAACUGGAAGGCCGGAUUCAUGCAUGGAUUCCUGCACAAAACAUGAAUCAAAUUCAGAAUUUGCUUACCGAAGGAGAAACCUAUAAUGUGCAUAAUUUUAUUGUUAGGCAAUAUGGUGCCAUGCAAACAGAUAGAUGCUUUGACAAUGAUGUGUUCAUCCAGCUUUAUCAUUUGACUGAGAUAUCGGUGGCUCAAGGUGUGGAUUAUAUCCAACGUCAUGUCUUUAACUUCACUGAACUUUCAGCUGUAAUGGAAACUACAAGGGAAAACAAAUUUCUAAUCGGUCAGUCAUUGCUAUUUUCCACAAAGAGUUUAAUAAAAACCAGUGUAGACUUUCCUAACUGCCCAUUUUGUUUUGUAGAUGUUGUUGGAAUUCUUCAACAAAGGCAACCAAUCACUAGCUACAGGAACAAAUAUAAUCAGCUAAAACACAGCAUUUAGUUUACCAUCAACGAUAUGUUGUCUGUGUUCAUCUUUCUAAACUUGAAUGUUAUACAAAACUUGCAUGCUUAACACUUGACAAAAGUUAUCAAACUCUUAACAGCGGCUCUGCAAAUGUAAUAUUCUACGAUGAGAUGGCACAAGCUUUUGAUCAAGGAGUACGUGAUGCUACCCAACAUCUUAUCGUUGUUAUCAUAUCCAGUGCUAAAGCUAUAUUCAUCCAAGGUUGGCAAACUGGCAUAUCCACUGAUGUCCUAGAGUGGAAGGAUGCAAAAUGGAGGCCUAUACUACCUAAGACAUCUUCCAACCCUGCAGAUGCUAUUUCUAUUUUUCGACCAUUUUAUUCAGCUUAUGUAAUCUUUGGAUUUGUAAAAACGUUUAGUAACUUUGUACUUUUGAAUUGUAACUCUAAAUUUGGUUUGCAGGCAAAAUUAACAUCUCUGUACU